UUACAAUCAGGUAGUGUGACAGCUGUCAGAUAUUGUUGGCAGGGCCCUCUAGACGAGGGUUGCAUGUCUCCGAAAAUGAAGGGGCAACAUACGUUUUUGAUACACACGUUUUUGCUGAUUAACACCCCCUCCCCUCUUUUUCCCUUUGGUUUUUAAAUGAACCUUCAAGUAUCUAAUGUAAAGUGCAGCGCAUAAGUACAGUAAAUCUCGAACACAUACUUUUUUUUCUGAAAUUCAAGUCAGAAAAAAAAAGUUUGACGUUUUUUGUUAAAGUAGGAAAACAUUUUCGGCAGGAUAACAAUGCUAAAAGCAGGUUGAUUGACUACCCUAAAAUAAGCCCUGAAAACUUCAAGAAUCGAAAUGGCUCUCUCUAAAUGACAUAGGUACGUGCAUUCCGUGCUCAUCAGGUAUGACGUUGGAAUUCGUGUGAUUCUACAGGGAUGAAUUGACCGUUUUGACGAAUACUAUAAUGCUAGUUUACCAACGACCCUGACGUUUCUCGGAAUACACGCAUUUCUCUCUGCUUCUGAGAAGCGCUGCUGUCGCUCUCCCUACGCUUUUGGUUCCUGAAGUUCCAAGAAUCAUCGGGAAAUCUUCGUCCAUCUUCGUCGAUGAUCAAAGCGAAGUGUGAGUGUGACGAGUUGUCGGUGUGUCUCUUCUUCUACCCGAUUGCAUUUUGGUUUGUGUAAAUAGCUCCUGAAUUUUCUUUGAUUUCCAUCUUUCUGAAGUCUCUAAUUCCUUGAGUCAUUCACCUGUUGAUUUCAGUGAACAUUUUCGUGUGAUUUCGCAGAGAAUCUCGAACGAUUUCAACAUGUCAAGCGAGAGCACUUCUUAUGAAGACUCGAAACGGAUGUUUUACGGCAAUCCAAUAGCGACGAUCCUGUUUUUUCAAGAUGUAGAGCAAAAGCGUAAACUGAAAUAUGGAGCCCAGUCCCUUGACGAGGAGAGAGAGAUACACGAGGAUCUGCUGAGGAAAUUAGCCGUUCUAGAGCAGGUAAGAAAUUAGAGAUCUUACUCUUACAUGGGUUUUAAGUCAACGCUCCUUCCUCACCAUAUAUGUCUUAGGUGUUCAGAAGUUAAUGCACAGUACUUUGGGGGUAGAUUCCAAGCCCAACUUAGACCUUUUUGUUCUACUCAUGAAAAAACUUUCUUCCGGGCUACAGCCCAACAAAGUGAUUGCUUUUUUCCAUCCCAAAAUUUGUCCAAA
RNAcentral lists this long non-coding RNA (1207 nucleotides) under Bemisia tabaci. RNAcentral's name for it is "lncRNA ENSSSA1NGG005162". The record is from RNAcentral. Lineage: Eukaryota; Metazoa; Arthropoda; Insecta; Hemiptera; Aleyrodidae.